RNAcentral lists this long non-coding RNA (1770 nucleotides) under Ornithorhynchus anatinus (platypus). Its description in RNAcentral is "lncRNA (ENSOANG00000048938.1)". The record is from RNAcentral. Lineage: Eukaryota; Metazoa; Chordata; Mammalia; Monotremata; Ornithorhynchidae.
CCCACCCCCUCCCCCUGGGCACCCAGGGUAGCGGCCCCGGAGGAACGGGGUAGGAUCUUGCACGGGAUUCAUCUGAGACCCCUCCCGCUCCCGAUCCGUAGGUGGCCGAGCCCCCCGCUUCGACCCCACCGCCUUUGUGCAGGCCCGGCAGCAGAAGCAGAAGGAGGUCGCCCGCAACAACCAGCGUAAACUGCGUCUCGGCUCAGGGGACCCUCCCUCCGGGGGCCGGGCCAGGGGCCGCCCCCCUUCCCGGGCCUCCGGCACCGCGCUGGCCCGGGCAGGUGCCACAGGGAAGAGCCGGACCCGCAGCUCCUCAGUGGAGAGUUUCCGGAGUCAGCGUUCGUCCUUCAGCUCCGGCAGUGAGUUGGAGGAUUUUUCCGAGCCCCUGCUGCCCCGCAGUGGCCGCCGGUGCCUGAGGAAGAGCAGACCGCCCUUGCGGGCCUCAACCUGGAACAGCCCUGUCGGGGUGCCCCCUCCUACUGGCAGCCGCCAAAAACGCCUGGUCAGCAGCACCCCCAGCCCCGGAGGUCCUGGCAAAGGUGAGGGGGCCGGGCGGGGAGACCCCAGUGCCCCUACCAGAUCCGAUCCCACCUCGGUCCGCGCCCCCAGCCCGCACUGCCCGAGGCUGAGGCCACCGGGACCGUCCCGUCUCCCCACCAGAGAAUGAGCUGUCGGAGCCGGCGGCCCAGCUGUCCGACAUCGACGCGCGGCUGCAGGCGCUGCAGGAGUACAUGACCCGGCUGGACACGAGGACGUGACCCGGAGCCCGGCGGCCGCAGAGAGGCCCGGGAGACGGCCGGGGGCCGGGGCCGGUGUCCGUCAGGGGGUUGUGUGUGUGUUUGUGUCCGUCUUUCUGCCUGCCUGUGGGCAUUUGUAAAUAAAACCGUUCGUUCACUAAUGCAAGAAACCUCUUGCAGCGACGCGCUGAGCCGAGCAGAGUGGGGUGAAGGGUGGGACGGAGCCAGUGGGGCUGCUGCCGUGCUCUGGCUGCUAAGGGGGAGGGGCGAGCCGCGACCGCUUGACUGGCCCACCCCGGCCCCCGCUGGGCCGUUCCUCCUUGCCACCCACUGCAGCUUUCAGGACCAGGGGUCGAAAAAGUACAUUUCCUCCAGGACGCCUUCCUUGACCAAGUCCUCAUUUCCUGUUCUCCCACUCCCUUCUGCAUCACCCUUGCACGUGGAUUAGUACCCUUUAUUCACCCCUCCCUCAGGCCCACAGCGCUUACCUACAUAACCCAUCACGCAGUAAUCGUAUCUGUUACACGUUCUCUGUGCCACAAAAUGUACUGAGCACUGGGGGAAGGCAGCAGCAUGGCUUAUUGGAUAGAUCAAGGGCCUGGGAGUAAGAAAGUCAUGGGUUCUGAUCCUGUCUCUGCCACUUAUCUGCUGUGUGACCUUGGGCAGGUCAUUUCACUUCUCAUGUGCCUCAGUUACUUCAUCUGUAAAAUGGGGAUUGAGACUGUGAGCCCCACAUGGGACAGGGACUGCGUCCAACCCAAGUUGCUGGUAUUGACCCCAGUGCUUAGUACAGUGCUCGGCACAUAGUAAGCGCUUAACAAAAACCAUCCUUAUCAUUACAAGAUCAUCGGAUUGGACACAGUUCCUGCCCCACGAAGGGCUCCAGGUCUCAAUCCCCGUUUCACAAAGAGGGAACUGAGGCACAGAGAAGCUAAGUGAUUUGUCACACAUCGGACAAAUGGAUCUGGGAUUAGACCCCAGGUCCUUCUGAUUCCCAGCCCCCUACUCUAUCGGCUGGGCCACGCUACUCUAU